RNAcentral lists this transfer RNA (71 nucleotides) under Engraulis japonicus (Japanese anchovy). Its description in RNAcentral is "tRNA-Pro". It matches the Rfam family "tRNA". Rfam says of the family: Transfer RNA (tRNA) molecules are approximately 80 nucleotides in length. Their secondary structure includes four short double-helical elements and three loops (D, anti-codon, and T loops). Further hydrogen bonds mediate the characteristic L-shaped molecular structure. tRNAs have two regions of fundamental functional importance: the anti-codon, which is responsible for specific mRNA codon recognition, and the 3' end, to which the tRNAs corresponding amino acid is attached (by aminoacyl-tRNA synthetases). tRNAs cope with the degeneracy of the genetic code in two manners: having more than one tRNA (with a specific anti-codon) for a particular amino acid; and 'wobble' base-pairing, i.e. permitting non-standard base-pairing at the 3rd anti-codon position. RNAcentral also lists the same sequence under 3 other names. The record is from RNAcentral. Lineage: Eukaryota; Metazoa; Chordata; Actinopteri; Clupeiformes; Engraulidae.
CAGAGGGUAGUUUAACUUUAGAAUGCUAGCUUUGGGAGCUAGUGGUGGGAGUUCAAGCCUCUUCCCUUUGG